This 497-nucleotide ribosomal RNA is filed under the name uncultured bacterium. RNAcentral describes it as "partial 16S ribosomal RNA". It matches the Rfam family "Bacterial small subunit ribosomal RNA", at positions 28 to 507 of the family's 1533-position model. The record is from RNAcentral.
GAUGAACGCUGGCGGCGUGCCUAAUACAUGCAAGUCGAGCGAACAGACCAGGAGCUUGCUCCUCUGACGUUAGCGGCGGACGGGUGAGUCACACGUGGAUGACCUACCUAUAAGACUGGGGUAACUUCGGGAAACCGGAGCUAAUACCGGAUAAUAUAUUGCACCGCAUGGUUCAAUAGUGAAAUACGGUUUUUCUUUCACUUAUAGAUGGAUCCGCGCCGCAUUAGCUAGUGGGUAAGGUAACGGCUUACCAAGGCAACGAUGCGUAGACGACCUGAGAGGGUGGUCGCCCACCUUGGAUGAGAGGCAGGGCCCCGACUCGUGGGGGAGGACACGGUAGAGAAUCUUACGCGAUGGAGGAGAGGGGGACGGAGCAAAGCGGCGUGAGUGAUGAAGGUCUUCGGCUGGUAAAGCUCUGUUGGUAGGAGGGAACUAAUGUGUAAGUAACCAUGAACAUAAUGACGGUACCUGGUCAAAAAGCCACGGCUAACUACGUG